CUGAAAGGCAUACAGGAAGACGAUGGGAAUGAUGAUGGCCAAGCCGAUGGUCUUGAAGUACUUCUUGUACAUCUCCAACCUCACCUGUUGUAGAAAAACAAAAAAUACCAGUCAGUCUCAAGGAUUCAGAGAACUUGACUUACCCUUCCGGUGCGGGCCUUGUCAACCACAGUCAGCUUGCCCAAGUCCUCUGGUACCUGUUCCUGGUCUGCUUCAGACACAGGCUCCAUAUUCUGCAGGUUGGUAUUAGUGGUGUCUCCCCUGGAGAAUAUGGAGAGGUCAAAGGUCUCUGGAGAAUGGCAUGAAGUCGACCAUGCUGAGGCGAGCAUUGGACCUCCUGGAACCAGCUACAGGAAACGGACAUGUUAAUUGCACAUGUUAAGUUUUCUUUUCUACAUACUAUGAGUUUAUUUAUGACAAAUC
Long non-coding RNA from Seriola aureovittata, 423 nucleotides. RefSeq lists it as uncharacterized. The transcript has 3 exons. Lineage: Eukaryota; Metazoa; Chordata; Actinopteri; Carangiformes; Carangidae. The record is from RefSeq and is a predicted model, not a curated record.